GGAACAGCCUAGAAGCAGGGCCUGGAACUGCAGGAUACACUCCCCUCCUGCUACCUAGGCAGGCGUGAGGGUGUGACGGCCGCGCAUUCGCCAGACGAGAGCGAUGGCUGAGAACGCCGCACCAGGUCUGAUCUCAGAGCUGAAGCUGGCUGUGCCCUGGGGCCACAUCGCAGCCAAAGCCUGGGGCUCCCUGCAGGGCCCUCCAGUUCUCUGCCUGCACGGCUGGCUGGACAAUGCCAGCUCCUUCGACAGACUCAUCCCUCUUCUCCCGCAAGACUUUUAUUACGUUGCCAUGGAUUUCGGAGGUCAUGGGCUCUCGUCCCAUUACAGCCCAGGUGUCCCAUAUUACCUCCAGACUUUUGUGAGUGAGAUCCGAAGAGUUGUGGCAGCCUUGAAAUGGAAUCGAUUCUCCAUUCUGGGCCACAGCUUCGGUGGCGUCGUGGGCGGAAUGUUUUUCUGUACCUUCCCCGAGAUGGUGGAUAAACUUAUCUUGCUGGACACGCCGCUCUUUCUCCUGGAAUCAGAUGAAAUGGAGAACUUGCUGACCUACAAGCGGAGAGCCAUAGAGCACGUGCUGCAGGUAGAGGCCUCCCAGGAGCCCUCGCACGUGUUCAGCCUGAAGCAGCUGCUGCAGAGGCAGAGAACAGCAUUGACUUCGUCAGCAGGGAGCUGUGUGCGCAUUCCAUCAGGAAGCUGCAGGCCCAUGUCCUGUUGAUCAAAGCAGUCCACGGAUAUUUUGAUCCAAGAGAGAAUUACUCUGACAAGGAGUCCCUGUCGUUCAUGAUAGACACAAUGAAAUCCACCCUCAAAGAGGUAAGGCGGGGCUCAGGCAGCUGGUGUCCAGCCACUGUCGCCCACUCUGGUCCCACCUCACCCAUCUCUUCUCAUGCACUGGGAAAGACCCCUGGUCUGCCCCCAGGCCCAACAAGUGACCACCAGGAUCUAUCAGGCCUCAUGCUCCAGUGAUCAGUCCCUAGAGGCCUGGGGACACAUGUAAUCAGAAUUUAAGAAACAGAGACCUUUGGUGGGGAGGUUCUUUACCAUCCUCAAGUACCCACCCCUCCUUCUUGGGGCCAGGCACAAUUAGGUGACCCAACUGCCAGAGACAGUCCCACAUUUUUUGAGAGACAGGGUCUCAUUCUGUUGCUCAGGCUCAGUCAUAGCUCACUGCAGCCUCAAACUCCUGGGCUCAAAUGAUCCUCCCACCUCAGCCACCUGAGUAGGUGGCACUACAGGCGCAUGCCAUCAUGCCCAGCUAAUAGUCACACUUUUUUUUUUUUUUUGAGAUGGAGUCUCACUCUGUCGCUCAGGCUGGAGUGCAGUGGGAAGAUCUCAGCUUACUGUAACCUCCACCUCCCGGGUUCAAGCGACUCUCGUGCCUCAGCCUCCUGAGUAGCUGGGAUUACAGGCACCUGCCACCAUGCCCAGCUAAUUUUUAUAUUUUUAAGAGAUGGGGGUUCACCAUGUUGGCCAGGCUGGUCUCAAACUCCUGACCUCAGGCGAUCCGCCCACCUUGGCCUCCCAAAGUGCUGGUUUUGCAGAUGGGAGCCACCAUGCCCAGCCUAGUCUCACUUUAUAGGCUCCCAAACCACAGCAGAACACCUGGCUGCCUCAUCCCUCUGCACCCAUCACGCCAGUGGGCAUGCUGGCUGUAGGUGGGGAUGGCCUUUGCCCGGGUUCCUGGGAGCACCUGGUGUUUUAUGGUCACCUACCCACUUACACCUGACCCUGGGGCCUCUGCAGUUUUCUUGGCGUUGUCACCACAAAAGGAAGAAGCCCACCUGUGGCUGGCUGGCUGGCCGCCAGGUCAGAGCCAAGGCAGGCAGGGCCUUCCUGUCUGGCUUCUUGAAGGCAGACACAAGUCUGCAGGCUGCUCACGUCAUCUCAUUAUCUUUUCUCACGAGGACUACUUCGGAUACAAUCACAGCAACCCUGGCCUCGGCCCUGCCCUGUCCCUGCCAUGCAACUUCACAACUCAGCUGGCCUAGACCCCUGGGAGGCCUCCAAGUCCCUAAGCGGUUCCAGUUUGUGGAAGUCCCAGGCAAUCACUGUGUCCACAUGAGCGAACCCCAGCACGUGGCCAGUAUCAUCAGCUCCUUCUUACAGUGCACACACACGCUCCCAGCCCAGCUGUAGCUCUGGGCCUGGAACUAUGAAGACCUAGUGCUCCCAGACUCAACACUGGGACUCUGAGUUCCUGAGCCCCACAACAAGGCCAGGGAUGGUGGGGACAGGCCUCACUAGUCUUGAGGCCCAGCCUAGGAUGGUAGUCAGGGGAAGGAGCGAGAUUCCAACUUCAACAUCUGUGACCUCAAGGGGGAGACAGAGUCUGGGUUCCAGGGCUGCUGUCUCCUGGCUAAUAAUCUCCAGCCAGCUGGAGGAAGGAAGGGCGGGCUGGGCCCACCUAGCCUUUCCCUGCUGCCCAACUGGAUGGAAAAUAAAA
Homo sapiens (human) is the source of this 2443-nucleotide long non-coding RNA. Ensembl annotates it as serine hydrolase like (pseudogene). Its record names the gene SERHL. NCBI's taxonomy places the organism in Eukaryota, Metazoa, Chordata, Mammalia, Primates, Hominidae. The record is from Ensembl.